UACAAAUUAUUAUUCAUUAAAAGGUUAUAUUCUUAUGUCUGUGACUGUAUAGUGCAGGGUAUAUGUAUGUUGAAGAGUGUAAUAUGGCUUUAUUGGUUCCUUAACUUAAUGUAUGUGAUUAAGGUACAUAAAAUUGUUUCCUUUAUUUGUUCGCAACCUUAGGACCCAAUCUGAAUGGUUUGUUUGGGAGACAAUCUGGGACAACUCCUUGAUACUUCUAUUCUGCGGCUAACAAGAACAAGGUUGUGAACGGGAUGAGAAAGCCCUGUAUGAUUACUUGCUUAACCCUAAGAAGUACAUCCCAGGGACAAAGAUGGUGUUUCCUGGUCUUAAGAAGCCUCAGGAUCAUGCUGAUCUUAUUGCAUAUCUGAAGCAAGCCACUGCAUCAGAAUAGAAUUUUCGUGACAGGAUGUAUUAUCUACUUUUUUGGGUAGGUUUACCUUCGCACAGUAUACCUAAUGCAGACAGUACACAGUAACAGUGGCAUGGGAUUAAUGGUACACCAAAGUAGUACACAUAUAUAUGUGAUAUUUUAUACACUCUACAACAGUUGAAAAGACACACUAAUGAUGGCUAUUUUCCUCACUUGUCCACACCUGCUAAAACUACAGAAUUUCUGCUGCACUUUUAUACACAGGUUUCAACAUAAAAAAAAGAGCAUUUGAGGUGCCAUUUUGAUGAAUAAUUCAUACUCC
This is a long non-coding RNA of Vicia villosa (hairy vetch), 695 nucleotides long. RefSeq lists it as uncharacterized. NCBI's taxonomy places the organism in Eukaryota, Viridiplantae, Streptophyta, Magnoliopsida, Fabales, Fabaceae. The record is from RefSeq and is a predicted model, not a curated record. The transcript has 3 exons.